UGAAUGAGCAGCGUGGUCGCGAGCUAGCACUACAACAAGCCAAACAAAAACAGUGCGAUUAUAUAUUCUUUGUGGAUGCUGCUGUGCAAGUGGAUGAUCCACAAAUGCUGCGCGAAUUAUUAAUAAUGAAUAGACAAUUCGUUGCGCCAGUGGUGAGCAAAUACGAUGAAUUAUGGAGCAAUUUUUGGGGUGCUCUCUCUGAUGGUGGCUACUAUGCGCGCUCACAUGAUUACGUGGACAUUGUGAAGGGCUCAUUUACGUGAGUAAAAUGUUUGUCUGUUUAUUAAAAUUUGUUUUAGAAAAAAAUGCAUAACCCAUGCAACAAACUCCUACGUACAUACAUAUGUACAUUUCGAGGGCUUAUAUUCAAUACCCUCUAUCUGCAAUUUCGAUGAAAAUGAGUUUUUGAUGGUAACGUGAGCUCCGAUUAAUC
Molecule: long non-coding RNA, 433 nt
Organism: Rhagoletis zephyria (snowberry fruit fly)
Lineage: Eukaryota; Metazoa; Arthropoda; Insecta; Diptera; Tephritidae
Source: RefSeq, a predicted model, not a curated record